GCGAAGGUGGCGGAAUUGGUAGACGCGCUAGCUUCAGGUGUUAGUGUUCUUACGGACGUGGGGGUUCAAGUCUUCCCCCUCGCACCA
This 87-nucleotide transfer RNA is filed under the name Shigella sonnei. RNAcentral describes it as "tRNA-Ser(cag)". It matches the Rfam family "tRNA". Rfam says of the family: Transfer RNA (tRNA) molecules are approximately 80 nucleotides in length. The record is from RNAcentral. Lineage: Bacteria; Pseudomonadati; Pseudomonadota; Gammaproteobacteria; Enterobacterales; Enterobacteriaceae.